This 1793-nucleotide long non-coding RNA is filed under the name Arabidopsis thaliana (thale cress). RNAcentral's name for it is "ncRNA (AT5G01215)". Lineage: Eukaryota; Viridiplantae; Streptophyta; Magnoliopsida; Brassicales; Brassicaceae. The record is from RNAcentral.
AGUAAUCAAGAAAUAAAAGUUUCUAAAAUGAUAAUACAGAGUUGUUAAUUUAGAAAGAAAAACUUGAAAAAGACGGGAUUUUGUACAUUAAUAAUACACUGUCACAUUAAGACCAGUAGAUUGACUCAUAAGACGUCGUUCGCUUCACAACUCUCAGAUCGAAAUAUCUAAAAACUUUAUAGAUAAAUCUCAACCGUCCAAAGUGCCAUGCCAUUAAGUUCCUCUAUCACUUUAGAUAUUUGCUUUUUUUUCCUCUGUAUCAGAAACUACGUCGUUUUCAACAAUCGUAAGUGACUUCUGAUACGUAUUGCAUAAACUCAGCAUCGUUCUCAAUCCCAGUCAUAGUCUCCGGCGCCAGAACUACUUCCAGAUCCACGCUUCCGUUUCCUUCUCUACCGGGAAACGCCGAGAUCUUCCCGUCGAAUUUAUUCGCUCCGCCGCUUCUCACAGCUAACGGUUUUCCCCAUCCGAAAUCAUUGUCGUACAUUGGGAAUCUCGGCGAGCUCCCCAUCGUGAUCGAAGCUCCAUCUGGAUUUCCGAGAGGAAACAGCCUCGGAUCGCUUUCCCAAGCGGCGAUUCCACGGCGGACCGUCGCGUCGUCGUGCGCCACCACGUUCCUGUGUAACUGUUCGGCGGACCACCUGAGAUCUUUGCUUAGCAGAUCUCCCGCAGACGCCAACGUCGGUAUGCUCUGUAUCGCGUUUCCGAAGUAGUACGGAUCCAUCUUCGGCUCAAGCCGGUGCCGGCAAUUAACCGCCAUUCGAAACGUCGUCGUCUUGCUCGGAUCGAGAUUCCUCGCUCGUGUAACGGAUCGCCAUAGCUGAGCGCUGAGAGAUUGGAACGAUGAAAUCUCAGCCGUCCGAUCAUAACUCUUCUUAUUAUUCAAAAAACUAUCCAAAACGGUUGUUAUUUUUCCGUUAAUCUCUCCGUUACAUUUCCUUCCAUCGUUAACGGCAGUCUCAAUUCCGUUAACUCUGUUAUUCGUCCUCUGUUUCAGUUUGGUAAUCGCCUCUCUGCUGAAAUGAAAAAUUCUCUCCCGUAGAGGUUGGUCGGCGUCGAAAGUGACACGUGGACCACCGGGAGGGACUGGAAGAACGACCGGAGAAUCGAAGACGGUGUGGCGGGAGAAAUCUGGAAGGUGUUUGAUCUUACAAGCACCGCUAGUGACGUCAGCAAAGGUGUUGAAGAAGUGCCAGAAGGAAGUUCCGUCAGUAACGGAAUGAUUCACGGUACAUCCGAUGAAGACACCGUCGUGGAGCUCCGUCACUUGAACGGCGGCGAGAGGCUUAUGAUGACCGUUGUAACUAACGAGACGCUCGAAGACGAAAAACUCACGGAAAAGCAGAGGAACGUCUUCACCUGGUAAGAGAACAUCAGAGAGUUUGACGUGUUUAGCGGAAGCGGCGACGAAAUCAACUCCGGCGUCGUUGCAGACAAUGGAAAUGUGACCGGCGGGAGUGGUGGAGAAACGGCCGGCUAAAGCAGGGAAGAGGGAAAGAGUGGAGGAGAGAGAACGGCGGAGAGAGGAGACAAGGUCGUCGAAGGAGAAGGAAGGAGGAGGGCUGGUGAGGAGGACGCCUUUUUGAAUGUAAUGACAUGAGAGCAUAGGGAGGUCGGAGACGGAGAGACGGAGAUCGGAGACGGUGGACUUCUUCUCCGGAUAGACGAUACAUUUUGAAAUUUCAGUUACCGAACAAGAAGGCAUUUUAUUUGGACAAAAAUGUUUUAAAGAGGAUAUGGAUUUUGGGAGUUAUGGGUUUAACUUGCCCGUAUUGGUGAUGAGUAGGAGUUAU